GGAGUUUAUUCCAAUGGGGAGCUCAACUUUUGGCUGUGUGCUAAAAAAAGCCUUGUUGAUCUCUUUGGGGGAUCACAAUUACUACUACUCUGGUGAUAUUAAUAGCAACAGCUUGUCAAUAUUUGGUAAGUUCAAGAAAGGGACAAACACAAGGUCAGAAGAACAAAGCACCAACCAGCUCCGAGGCAGUAACUUGCCAAAAAGGUUGUGUAGAGAGUGUAGCUUUGCUAAGCUUCAUCCAUUGCUUCAUUUUCC
RNAcentral lists this long non-coding RNA (255 nucleotides) under Musa acuminata (dwarf banana). RNAcentral's name for it is "long non-coding RNA (MACU_LNC002271)". Lineage: Eukaryota; Viridiplantae; Streptophyta; Magnoliopsida; Zingiberales; Musaceae. The record is from RNAcentral.